RNAcentral lists this ribosomal RNA (578 nucleotides) under Apiotrichum porosum. Its description in RNAcentral is "LSU rRNA". It matches the Rfam family "Eukaryotic large subunit ribosomal RNA", at positions 52 to 634 of the family's 3401-position model. Lineage: Eukaryota; Fungi; Basidiomycota; Tremellomycetes; Trichosporonales; Trichosporonaceae. The record is from RNAcentral.
UAAGGAAGAACUUAACAAGGAUUCCCCUAGUAACGGCGAGUGAACCGGGAAGAGCUCAAAUUUGAAAUCUGGCAGUCUUCGAUUGUCCGAGUUGUAAUCUAUAGAAGCGUUUUCCGUGCUGAACUGUGUAUAAGUCCCUUGGAACAGGGUAUCAAAGAGGGUGACAAUCCCGUACUUUACACAAUCAUCAGUGCUCUGUGAUACGUUCUCUACGAGUCGAGUUGUUUGGGAAUGCAGCUCAAAAUGGGUGGUAAAUUCCAUCUAAAGCUAAAUAUUGGCGAGAGACCGAUAGCGAACAAGUACCGUGAGGGAAAGAUGAAAAGCACUUUGGAAAGAGAGUUAAACAGUACGUGAAAUUGUUGAAAGGGAAACGAAAUUCAUGAAUCAUGUUUAUUGGACUCAGCCGUUCUUCGGUGUACUUCCUUUAAACGGGUCAACAUCAGUUUUGUCCGAUGGAUAAAGGUAGUAGGAAGGUGGCUCUCUCGGGAGUGUUAUAGCCUAUUGCUGCAUACAUUGGAUGAGACUGAGGACUGCAGCUUGCCUUUAUGGCCGGGGUUCGCCCACGUCAAGCUUAAGGA